Molecule: ribosomal RNA, 497 nt
Filed under: uncultured bacterium
Lineage: Bacteria
Description: partial 16S ribosomal RNA
Rfam family: Bacterial small subunit ribosomal RNA
Source: RNAcentral
GAUGAACGCUGGCGGCGUGCCUAAUACAUGCAAGUCGAGCGAACAGACGAGGAGCUUGCUCCUCUGACGUUAGCGGCGGACGGGUGAGUAACACGUGGAUAACCUACCUAUAAGACUGGGAUAACUUCGGGAAACCGGAGCUAAUACCGGAUAAUAUAUUGAACCGCAUGGUUCAAUAGUGAAAGACGGUGUUGCUGUCACUUAUAGAUGGAUCCCCGCCGCAUUAGCUAGUUGGUAAGGUAACGGCUUACCAAGGCAACGAUGCGUAGCCGACCUGAGAGGGUGAUCGGCCACACUGGAACUGAGACACGGUCCAGACUCCUACGGGAGGCAGCAGUAGGGAAUCUUCCGCAAUGGGCGAAAGCCUGACGGAGCAACGCCGCGUGAGUGAUGAAGGUCUUCGGAUCGUAAAACUCUGUUAUUAGGGAAGAACAAAUGUGUAAGUAACUAUGCACGUCUUGACGGUACCUAAUCAGAAAGCCACGGCUAACUACGUG